UCCGGGCGGACGCCGAGUCCUGCCGCCGCCCGGAUGACCGGUCGACAGGAGUGGAUCGGCAGGAGUGGAGGACCCAAGCAAGACGGGUCGCCGGAGCGGACGUUCGUUCGAUCCGAGCAGCCCUUGGGGUGAAGCCGCGGCAACGCGGCCGGGCAACUUCGCCAGCCCGAAUCCGACAGGUCAUCCUUCACAGGCGGCUGACGAAGGGUUG
Streptomyces viridochromogenes is the source of this 211-nucleotide non-coding RNA. NCBI's taxonomy places the organism in Bacteria, Bacillati, Actinomycetota, Actinomycetes, Kitasatosporales, Streptomycetaceae. The record is from Rfam.